Molecule: ribosomal RNA, 253 nt
Filed under: uncultured bacterium
Lineage: Bacteria
Description: partial 16S ribosomal RNA
Rfam family: Bacterial small subunit ribosomal RNA
Source: RNAcentral
GACAGAGGGGGCAAGCGUUGCUCGGAAUUACUGGGCGUAAAGGGCGCGUAGGCGGCGCGGUAAGUCACUUGUGAAAUCUCUGAGCUUAACUCAGAACGGCCAAGUGAUACUGCAGUGCUAGAGUGUGGAAGGGGCAAUCGGAAUUCUUGGUGUAGCGGUGAAAUUCGUAGAUAUUGGGAAGAACACCGAUGGCGAAGGCAGCCAUCUGGACCGACACUGACGCUGAGGCGCGAAAGCGUGGGGAGCAAACAGG